This 1120-nucleotide long non-coding RNA is filed under the name Sorghum bicolor (sorghum). RNAcentral describes it as "long non-coding RNA (SBIC_LNC002660)". Lineage: Eukaryota; Viridiplantae; Streptophyta; Magnoliopsida; Poales; Poaceae. The record is from RNAcentral.
UUGACGGUGUUUUGUAUGUGGAUUUCUAUGGUAUAUCCACCGUCAACAAGAUCCCCCAAGCUUAACCUUUGCUCGUCCCGAGCAAACAAUCAAACUUAGCCUCGGUGGAUCAGGUAUUGUUACUAUGUUCACAUUUCAAGUGUACCAUGUGUACAACAAAGUUCUUCUCUUUGCAUGAAAAAUUUAGCUAUGUAAACUUACCCCUAUUACCUUAGUCCCUUAUGGGGCUUAUGGCUUUUCCUUUGUCUUAGGUGGUUGAGAGACAGAACAGUUUGACUUGAGCACUAACUUUCACAUUCUUAGCAAGUUUCAUAUCAGAGGUUUUGUGAUAUUUUCAAAAGAAAGCUUAAAUGUUCCUCUUAUGGUUCUCUCAUGUCACUCAAAUGGUGUAUGAUUCCUCACCAAGGCAUAUGGUAAGAGUUGCCUUCUCUAUUUCAUCCUAUUUCUAAAAGGCUUAUGUGGAGUUCAAGGUAGGGAUGAAAGGAGAUAGCAUACUUACUUUGCAUAUAUUGCGAAGUCAAAGCUCGGAUCCUUGAAGAGAAGUGUCAUACUCCCAGAUCAAGAUGUGCAAGUGUGAUAUAUGGUGGACUAGGUUGCUCCUUUAUUUGAUAGACUCUCUAUGUAUUGAGACAUGGCUAGCUUUUUUUUUAUAUAUAUAUAUGAGCUUUCAUGUGCUCAAUUUUCUUUUUCUGUGGACUUGCAUAUGUCCAUCUUUUUAUUUCAUUUUGCCUAGCCUUUUGAUGUCUCAUUUACCAAAUAAUGCUUAGAGAGAUGUUCUAACAUUUAGAGUAUGGAGCAACCUAUUUAGUGGAUGCGAAAUACAUGUGGUUGCGUACUUCCAGUGUAGAAGCAGCAUAUAUAUAUGUGGUGUCUACGUGAUCUUGAUCUUAGGAGCAUGAAAAGUCUCUUAACAAGGGUCAACAAGACUUGACGACACUCAACACAAAGCAAAUAGCUUAUGUGGAAAGAUUGCAAUUAUGUAAAGUAGAUAUGGCUGUGGUAGGAAUUCAUCACCAUUGAGGAACAAUUAAGGUUUUGAUCAUUUUAAGAAUAAAUCUCUGAUAAUCAUGCAUGCUUAGAAAAAUAUUAUAGUAGCUCUUGUCUUACUAUCUCAUGUCCC